UUUCCGUAGGUGAACCUGCGGAAGGAUCAUUACUGAAUUUAAUUCCGGGGUUGUAGCUGGCCAUUGUUUUGGCAUGUGCACACCUUGGUAUAAUCCAAAUUCAUUCACACCUCUGUGCACCAUUUCGUGGGAUUGAAGGGUAAUGAAGGAGAAUUGCGCCUAGCUCUUCUUUUCUUUGCCUGAAUUUUCCAUGUCUUUGUAUAUACUCUACAGUUUUAGAAUGUUUAAUUGCGUUGAACGCAUUUAUAUACAACUUUCAGCAACGGAUCUCUUGGCUCUC
Molecule: unclassified non-coding RNA, 280 nt
Filed under: plant metagenome
Description: partial contains small subunit ribosomal RNA, internal transcribed spacer 1, and 5.8S ribosomal RNA
Source: RNAcentral